RNAcentral lists this ribosomal RNA (521 nucleotides) under uncultured bacterium. RNAcentral's name for it is "bacterial SSU rRNA". It matches the Rfam family "Archaeal small subunit ribosomal RNA", at positions 345 to 866 of the family's 1478-position model. The record is from RNAcentral.
AACCUCCGCAAUGUGAGAAAUCGCGACGGGGGGGUCCCAAGUGCCAUUCUUAACGGGAUGGCUUUUCAUUAGUGUAAAGAGCUUUUGGAAUAAGGGCUGGGCAAGACCGGUGCCAGCCGCCGCGGUAACACCGGCAGCUCUAGUGGUAGCAGUUUUUAUUGGGCCUAAAGCGUCCGUAGCCGGUUUAAUAAGUCUCUGGUGAAAUCCUGUAGCUUAACUGUGGGAAUUGCUGGAGAUACUAUUAGACUUGAGACCGGGAGAGGUUAGAGGUACUCCCAGGGUAGAGGUGAAAUUCUGUAAUCCUGGGAGGACCGCCUGUUGCGAAGGCGUCUAACUGGAACGGUUCUGACGGUGAGGGACGAAAGUUAGGGGCGCGAACCGGAUUAGAUACCCGGGUAGUCCUAACCGUAAACGAUGCGGACUUGGUGUUGGGGUGGCUUUGAGCUGCUCCAGUGCCGAAGGGAAGCUGUUAAGUCCGCCGCCUGGGAAGUACGGUCGCAAGACUGAAACUUAAAGGAAUU